This 75-nucleotide transfer RNA is filed under the name Photobacterium damselae subsp. piscicida. RNAcentral describes it as "tRNA-OTHER". It matches the Rfam family "tRNA". From Rfam's summary of the family: Transfer RNA (tRNA) molecules are approximately 80 nucleotides in length. Their secondary structure includes four short double-helical elements and three loops (D, anti-codon, and T loops). Lineage: Bacteria; Pseudomonadati; Pseudomonadota; Gammaproteobacteria; Vibrionales; Vibrionaceae. The record is from RNAcentral.
CGGUGAAUAGCGCAGUUUGGUAGCGCAUCUGGUUUGGGACAGAGGGUCGGGGUUCGAAUCCCUCUUCACCGACCA